UGAUAGAUGGAACCCAUUUUUGCAUACUACAAUAGACAUUGGCAACUCUUUUUGCUUGCCACCAAGACCCCACCCUUCAGCAUAUAAUUGAUGUUGUUACUUUCAUAGCCUCACUUCAGGUUGUGGCUGAUGACACUCUAGAAAUAGGUUCAGAUGAUAUUUAUUGUAAAUCAAGGAAAACUUUUAGGGAUCGCAAAUGCUAUUCUAGGGCAGUAAGCCACAUUUCAUGUAACUGUAUUUUCCUUAGAAGAGCAUGCUUGUGCCUGCUCCUUUACUCAAAAUUAUUAGAAAAGCUUGCCUGUGUUUCUCUUUGCGUUUUCUUGUUUGCUUGCAUGUGCAGGUGUGUAUUGAUAGAUAAUGCCGCUCUUAUAUUGAUUGACA
RNAcentral lists this unclassified non-coding RNA (381 nucleotides) under Hevea brasiliensis (rubber tree). Lineage: Eukaryota; Viridiplantae; Streptophyta; Magnoliopsida; Malpighiales; Euphorbiaceae. The record is from RNAcentral.